This 187-nucleotide non-coding RNA is filed under the name Pan troglodytes (chimpanzee). Lineage: Eukaryota; Metazoa; Chordata; Mammalia; Primates; Hominidae. The record is from RNAcentral.
CUUGAGCGUGGAGGGUAUGUGCUUCAGGUGACAUUUUAGGAGCGUGGCGUUUCCUGGAUGGCGGCCGCACACUUAGGAAGAACGGGCUUUGGGAGAGGACCGCUGGCCCGAGAGUGGAACCUUGCACGCACUGGGCGUUGAAGCAGUGCUUUCUGGAUUAAAUACGAAAUACUGAUGUCACAAGCUA